Molecule: ribosomal RNA, 706 nt
Filed under: Microbacterium sp.
Lineage: Bacteria; Bacillati; Actinomycetota; Actinomycetes; Micrococcales; Microbacteriaceae
Description: bacterial SSU rRNA
Rfam family: Bacterial small subunit ribosomal RNA
Source: RNAcentral
GCAUUAGUAAUGGCUCACCAAGGCGUCGACGGGUAGCCGGCCUGAGAGGGUGACCGGCCACACUGGGACUGAGACACGGCCCAGACUCCUACGGGAGGCAGCAGUGGGGAAUAUUGCACAAUGGGCGGAAGCCUGAUGCAGCAACGCCGCGUGAGGGAUGACGGCCUUCGGGUUGUAAACCUCUUUUAGCAGGGAAGAAGCGAGAGUGACGGUACCUGCAGAAAAAGCACCGGCUAACUACGUGCAAGCAGCCGCGGUAAUACGUAGGGUGCAAGCGUUAUCCGGAAUUAUUGGGCGUAAAGAGCUCGUAGGCGGUUUGUCGCGUCUGCUGUGAAAUCCCGAGGCUCAACCUCGGGCCUGCAGUGGGUACGGGCAGACUAGAGUGCGGUAGGGGGAGAUUGGAAUUCCUGGUGUAGCGGUGGAAUGCGCAGAUAUCAGGAGGAACACCGAUGGCGAAGGCAGAUCUCUGGGCCGUAACUGACGCUGAGGAGCGAAAGGGUGGGGAGCAAACAGGCUUAGAUACCCUGGUAGUCCACCCCGUAAACGUUGGGAACUAGUUGUGGGGUCCUUUCACGGAAUUCCGUGAAGCAGCUAACGCAUUAAGUUCCCCGCCUGGGGGAGUACGGCCGCAAGGCUAAAACUCAAAGGAAUUGACGGGGACCCGCACAAGCGGCGGAGCAUGCGGAUUAAUUCGAUGCACCGCGAA